GAUGAACGCUGGCGGCGUGCCUAAUACAUGCAAGUCGAGCGAACAGAUGAGGAGCUUGCUCCUCUGACGUUAGCGGCGGACGGGUGAGUAACACGUGGAUAACCUACCUAUAAGACUGGGAUAACUUCGGGAAACCGGAGCUAAUACCGGAUAAUAUAUUGAACCGCAUGGUUCAAUAGUGAAAGACGGUUUUGCUGUCACUUAUAGAUGGAUCCGUGCCGCAUUAGCUAGUUGGUAAGGUAACGGCUUACCAAGGCAACGAUGCGUAGCCGACGUGAGAGGGUGAUCGGCCACACUGGAACUGAGACACGGUCCAGACUCCUACGGGAGGCAGCAGUAGGGAAUCUUCCGCAAUGGGCGAAAGCCUGACGGAGCAACGCCGCGUGAGUGAUGAAGGUCUUCGGAUCGUAAAACUCUGUUAUUAGGGAAGAACAAAUGUGUAAGUAACUAUGCACGUCUUGACGGUACCUAAUCAGAAAGCCACGGCUAACUACGUG
RNAcentral lists this ribosomal RNA (497 nucleotides) under uncultured bacterium. Its description in RNAcentral is "partial 16S ribosomal RNA". It matches the Rfam family "Bacterial small subunit ribosomal RNA", at positions 28 to 507 of the family's 1533-position model. The record is from RNAcentral.